AGUAUUGUCUUCCACCUCUUCACUCUGAGUCUGUGUUUGUCCUUGUGGCUGAGGUGUGUUUCCUGGAGGCAACAAACUGUUGGAUCUUGUUCUUUAAUCCAUUUUACCACUCUGUGUCUCUUUAUCGGAGAAUUCAAUCCAUUUACAUUGAGGGACUUCCAGGAAUAUGUUGAAUUAAAGUGGCAAGAGUGGGCAUCCUUGUCUUGUUCCUUAUCUUAGAAGACAUUCUUCCAGCUUUUCAUCAUUGAGUAUGAUAUCAGCUGUGGGCUUGUCAUAUACGGCCUUUAUAUUGUAUUGAGGGUAAAUCUGAUUCCUGUAACUCCAUCUUGGCUAGAAGUAGAUGGUUACAGCUUCACUCUUAACGUUAUAGCACCUGCAACCUUCUUCAAAGGAAUUCUCUUCAGUUACUAGAGCCACUUCUCAUGGAGAGCUGAAGAUGUCUGAAGUUUACAAAUCCUUGGAGUAGCCAGUAGCCAGCCACUGGUUCAGGAGUAUGAAAGUCUAAUUCCUUUGCCUCCAGGUGGGAUAAACUCUUUCUUUGUAAUUUAUGCUCUGGAGCUCCCCUGGACCAGGCUGAUGUUGAAAUCAUACCCUUGCUUUUCUUACUCUCCUUUCUGAUCCUGCUUCCCUGCCUCCCUUACUGGUUUCAUAGUGGAGCACAUUUCUAAUAAAUCACUUGCACCUGAAUCCACAUCUCAAUGUCAGCUUUUAGAGAACACAACCUAAAAUCAGCUCACAUUUUAAAACUGCUCUUCUGUAAAAUGUCUCCUUGAUUGGUUUAUUUUGCUUUUCUCCCACAUUUUUUUUUAAUUGUUCACAUGCUCAAAGGAACUUUAGAAUAAAAGUGUUGAGCUGAAUAGAUAUUUAGAAUAUAUCCAACCAAACUCCCUCAUUUAAUAAAUGAAGCAACUGAGGCUCAGGAUGUUAAAUAAAUAAAUAACCCAUGUUUACAUACCCUAUGAGUAACAGAGGUAAGCUCAAAUUCAGGUUUCCUGAUUUGGGCUUAUUCAGGUAAAACAUGCUCUUAAUUUCAUAGUGAUCAGGUUUUACUAGCUAUUAGAAAGUAUGUUGCAAACCCUUACUUAUGAAUAUUGGCAGAUAUAAAUGUUUGUGCAAACUUUUUCUGCAGGUGCAAGUUUGUACUUGUACCAGUUUGAUUGCCUUCCUCAUUUUAUGAUCUUUGAACAUUAAUCCUUGUUGAAGGGUGAAGUGAACACCUGCAUUUAAAAAAAUCUUUUAAAUUUAAAUCUAAUAUCAAAACCCAAUCAUAUUCACAUCUUCUCCUUCUCUUCUCUUCUCUAUCUCUCUUUCCUUCCCUCAGUCAUAGGCAAUGUGAAUUUGAAGCAAAAAUCAGAGAGUCUUCAAUGACUUACUGGUAUAUGGUCACCCUAAAUUGUGCUGUGAUCUUGAGACCAGUGGCCAUGUUGAACUUUAAGCAAAAAGAAGUGGGAUUCUGAAUUACAUGUUUUCAUCUUUCUUAAUUUACUCUUAUUUUGUAGCACAUACUUCAGUAGUUUCUUAAUUUUAUUUUCUGUGGAACUUUAUCUUCCAAUUCCUGUUGACUUUAUUUCUGAUACCAUGUUUUUACUUUCUUUUUCUUUUUUUUUUAAAGAUUUUAUUUUUUUCCUUUUUCUCCCCAAAGCCCCCCCGUACAUAGUUGUAUAUUCUUCGUUGUGGGUCCUUCUAGUUGUGGCAUGUGGGAUGCUGCCUCAGCGUGGUUUGGUGAGCAGUGCCAUGUCCGCACCCAGGAUUCGAACCAAUGAAACACUGGGCCACCUGCAGCGGAGUGCGCGAACUUAACCACUCGGCCACGGGGCCAGCCCCUCUAAUAUCUUUUUCAUUCUCCAAAAGUUCCAUUUUUAGAUAGCCUUCUGUUCUUGUUUUAUGCAAUUAGUAUCUUUUCUUAUUUCUUUGAAGAUAUUAAUAUAAUGGGGUUUUUUAAAUUAUUAUUCUGCUCCCUAUAUUGACUAUUUUCUGUAAGUUCUUUUUAUCUUUUGGUUUCUUUUUUGUCUCUUUCAUGUUAGAUCUCUCUAUACCUUAGAAUAAGACAUAAAAAUGCUGAUAUGCAACUCUGCCUUCCUAGGAGGAAUUUGUUUAUUUAUAUUAGGAUGAUGUUGACUGGUAUGCUUAACAUUAGAGUAGGGUUUCCCAUCUUUGGCACUAUUGACGUUUAAGAUAGGAUAAUUAUUUUGGGGGGCAGGGAGGGGAGUAGGAUAUGCUGUCCUAUGCAUUGUAGAAUGAUCAGUAGCAUCCCUGGCCUCUAGCUACUAGAGGCCAGUAGCACACCCUUCCCCUACCUCUCUCAGUUGUUUACAAUCGAAAAUUUCUCCAGACAUUGUCAAAUGGUCCCUAGGGCCAAAAUCAUCCCUGUUACUAACCACUGCACUAGGAUGAUGAGAGUUUUGAGAGUUUCUUGCAGAGAAACUCUCCAGUUUCCUGCUUUCUGAGUGAAGAGUAUGAACCUGGUUACCAGCAUUCAGAAGCGAAGCAGAGGAAUGGACCUGGGCAUCUCUCCAUUCAAUAUAGAGAUUUUGUCUUAACCUCUGUGGAAUAAUGGUCUCUCAAAGAUGUCCACAUCCUAAUCCCAGAAGUCUUCGAAUACGUUAUGUUACAUGGCAGAGGAGAAUUAAGGUGGCAGAGGGGAAUAAAGUUUGAGAUGGAAUUAAGGUUGAUAAUCGGCUGACUUUAAAUGGGGAGAUUAUCCUGGAUUGUAUAGUUGGAUUUAAAUAUGGAGGAGGAAGGCAGCAGACUCAGUGUCAAAAUGAUGCAACAUGAGAAAGACUUAACUGGCCAUUACUGGCUUUGAAGAUGGAAAGGGGCCAUGAGCCAAGAAAUGCAGGCAGCCUCUAGAAGCCGGAAAAGACAAGAAAACAGAUUCUCGUCUAGAACCUCCAGAAGGAGUUCAACCCUGCUGAGACCCUGACUUUAACCCAGUGAGGCCCAUUUUGGACUACUGAUCUCCAGAACUUGUGGAACUUGACCGUUCACCCUCAGUCCUGCCUGGUAUUCUCAAGUCCAGAACAUCCUGGGACAAUCUCUCCCAGCACGAAUCAACAAGUCCUGCCUAUUGUCUGCCAACAUUGCAGAAGGGGCCCGUCUCCAGGUCUCCGGGUUGCGGAAUGGAUCUAGUGAGCAAACUGCUUUUUAAGCAGAUUUUCAACCAAUCCUCCCAUUUCAAGACUCCCUCCCAACUCCUCAAGUCUAUAUAGAGGCACCUUGUGCCUUCAAUUCCUGAAGUUUUAUAGGAUUCCGCAGCAGAGAUAGACUUGCUUUGAUUAUUGCAAGUACAUUUCCUCUUUCCAUGCUCUGCUAAAUCAGACACCUCUCAUCCUCGUUCCUUCUUCCAAAAUUUACAGACAUCUCUUGUCUGCUUCCUCUCAUUCUUUUUGAGCCUUAAGAUUUCAUGCUGUUUUGGUUCUUUAUUGUCAUUUUAGUGGGACUUUAAGAAAUAAUGGAAAUAAAUACUCAUGUUCAACUAC
Long non-coding RNA from Equus caballus (horse), 3479 nucleotides. NCBI's taxonomy places the organism in Eukaryota, Metazoa, Chordata, Mammalia, Perissodactyla, Equidae. The record is from Ensembl.